This 669-nucleotide long non-coding RNA is filed under the name Homo sapiens (human). RNAcentral's name for it is "HSALNT0399752". The record is from RNAcentral. Lineage: Eukaryota; Metazoa; Chordata; Mammalia; Primates; Hominidae.
CCCACAAAAACUCCAAAUAAAGGGGUUCCAAGAGCUGCUAGGUUGGUGAACACAUGGAGGUGCGGGGAGGGUGGCGAGCCCAGCGAGGACGUGGAUUCCCCACGGCCCUUCCCACAUACCCCGUUCUUUCAUUUGGCUGUUUCUGAGUUGUGUGCUUUAUAAUCAACUGACAAUGUUCCAGCUCUUGAAGACGACAUAAUCCUUCAUGCCUUAGUCUUCACAUAUGUUGAACCCUCUGACCAGAUAUCUGUUCCUUAUUUCUCUGCCUGUUCAACAGUCGCAAUUCACCUCCAAUGAUUACUGUCUGAAGUCAUUCUUCAGAAUUCAACUCUUCUUUAUUGGUCUCUUACUGUGGCACGUGUUAGGAGAAAUACUAGAAAAUUCCCUUGAAGACUAGCUGGCAUGCCCCAACAGGAAACUUGACAAAGUUUCCUUAGUAAUGACUUCUGAAGGCCAUUUUGCUCUAAAUAUAUACUUUAAAUAAAUUAUCCCUUUGUCUUGUCAGAAUCAUUUGUAUGGUCAGAAUCAUUUGAAUAUUUAGAUAUAAUGAAUUUAAUGAUCCAUAAGAGCAUUUGUUAUAUGAUAUAAUAAUCACUAAGUAUUAAGUUUGCUGUAUUUGAAGUAUUUGAAUUUUAUUAUAGGCUUGAGUGAUGUUAGCCUCACAGGUGA